GCGCAGGGUCCAAACACGGGCCCGUGGUCCUUGACGGUGAGCCGCUCCAGCUUGGCCCUCAGAGCCUGCUCCUCCUCCGACACCAUGCGCUCUGCCAGUUCCAGGACCCCGAUGACCCCAAUGACCCCGACCCAGAGCGCUUGAACUCCGGUGACCGGAGUUUGUUGCUUGCCCGUUGGCUGGACGCCGCCGUGGUCCGUGGACAUCAAUAGGCCUCAGUGUUUGAUUAAUCUCCCUCGAGUCCAGAAGGAGAACGAAGGAGCAGGAAGGACCAGGGAGGAGCAGGAAGGAGCACGGAGGAGCACGAAGGAGGAGGAAGGAGCACGAAGGAGGAGGAAGGAGCAGGCGGCCAGCUGGUAAUCUACCUGAUCCCAAUAAAGCGAUUUGGGGAACAAAAUGAGAAACAAUGGCGUCUGUGUUCCGCUCCUAUAGCCUGAGCCACGGGGCC
Molecule: long non-coding RNA, 448 nt
Organism: Pseudoliparis swirei
Lineage: Eukaryota; Metazoa; Chordata; Actinopteri; Perciformes; Liparidae
Exons: 3
Source: RefSeq, a predicted model, not a curated record